AUUGAACGCUGGCGGCAUGCUUUACACAUGCAAGUCGAACGGUAACAGGCCUUCGGGUGCUGACGAGUGGCGAACGGGUGAGUAAUGCAUCGGAACGUACCCAGAGGUGGGGGAUAACGCAGCGAAAGCUGUGCUAAUACCGCAUGUGAUCUGAGGGUGAAAGCGGGGGACCGAUCAGCACUGUUUGCUCUCGCGCCUUUGUAGCGGCCGAUGUCGGAUUAGCUAGUUGGUGGGGUAAAGGCCUACCAAGGCGACGAUCCGUAGCUGGUCUGAGAGGACGACCAGCCACACUGGGACUGAGACACGGCCCAGACUCCUACGGGAGGCAGCAGUGGGGAAUUUUGGACAAUGGGCGCAAGCCUGAUCCAGCAAUGCCGCGUGCGGGAAGAAGGCCUUCGGGUUGUAAACCGCUUUUGGCAGGAACGAAACGGUGUCCGCUAAUACCGGGCGCUAAUGACGGUACCUGCAGAAUAAGCACCGGCUAACUACGUG
This 492-nucleotide ribosomal RNA is filed under the name uncultured bacterium. Its description in RNAcentral is "partial 16S ribosomal RNA". It matches the Rfam family "Bacterial small subunit ribosomal RNA", at positions 30 to 507 of the family's 1533-position model. The record is from RNAcentral.